ACCCGCGCUCAUUGGAAUCACUUCAUGGAUUUUAUCACGAGUGAUCAUGAGACGAUAAUAUCUUAUAUUCUUCAAACCUAGAGAUAUGAGUUGUUACUAUGAGUUGGUUGUACAUUGAUUGCACGAAAACGCAUUUGGUAACUCGGUGCUAUAAAACGUGCCUUUGUGUAUGAUUCAACAAGUAGUAGAACAAGCCAUAUGAGUCGAAGUUUAUCCAUUCCUUCUACCUUCAAGAUAAAAGCGAUAUAUGUAGGCCCCUCGAUGAUUUAAUGAUGAUACAUGUGAUUGCUCUGCCAUGCCAGGACUGGUUUGAUCUGUUCAAUCAGUCAGUCAUCAUGAAUGGGAAAUUGGGAAACAACAAAUGGACAGAGAGAAUGAUUUUAAUCCAUGUCUCAGUCUAUAUGAUAUCUAGAAUGGAGGAAUAUAUGAUCCCUUAUCUAAUGGACAAGUUCGUUGACAAGAUCAGAGUUCGACAGCAGCUUUAAGAGCUACGAUUGCCAAUUGGUUCUUGAAGUCAUACGCAAUAAUAGUUUUAGACUUAUCCAAGUGGGAGACUGUUGGAUUAAUGUCGAAAUCCAUAACUAUAAUUGGUAAGACUUGACCUGACCUGGCAUGGUACAUUUGGGUUGCAUGGCAUAAUGCAUUUGGAUAGACUAUAAUGAGAGAAAUAACACUUAAGGUUUGUUAAUAUAUUAUAGGUUCUAAUAUAUUAAUAAGGUUAUUAGUAUUGAUCAAUAAUUAAUUUGGAAUUAAUUAAGUGAUCAAAAGGAGACUAAUUAAAUAUAUGGGUUGAUUGUGUAAAUCAUCCAUACUUGUAUAGUGGGCUAAUGCUCCAUGGAUAAUCAAGUUGGGCUAAAACCCAUAGGAUGGUCCAUGGAUGCUCCAUGGUGUAUUUGAACCCAUGGNUAAAGUUAUGAGUUAUAUGGUGUAACCCUAAUAGCCACUUUAUAAAAGAAUCCCAUGGCUCAAGAAAUCGUGCACUAGUGUGGGAAUAUGAAGGCUAGACGAUUUCAAGGAGUGUUCCAUUUCUCUCAAGUCAUUUCAUGUGCAUUUGGUGUUAUGUGAACCAUUUGAGGUGUCAUACUUGGGGCAUUAGGCACUCAAGCUUCAUGAAGACAAGCUACAUCAAACAAAGGUAUGUAUUCUAUCCAUUUGAUUACCCAAGUAUCAAGUAUUGUAUGCUAGAUAGGGUAAUACCUUGGAAAGUUCAUAUUUGCAUGUAUAAUAGAGAAAACAUAGAUCCAAGGUAUUUAGGGUUGCAUGUACACUUAGGAGUGUUAGAAUACUCAAAACCCAACACUUCUCUACCUCCACCUCCUCCAAUUAUUCUCCUUAACCCACAAGUUCUUGAAUAGUUCAAGGUCACUCAAUCCCUAUUGGCAAGCAAUGUCUAUAUGUGCUCAUAUCUUGGAGAUGAAGUCACAUAUUGAAAAGUUGAGAGAGUUGGAUGUCGAAGUAUCAAGGAAGCUGAUUGUUGACUGGGUUCUUCAAUCACUCUCCAAGUCAUAUAGUGAGUUCUUUAAAGGACUACUAUGUGACAGACCACGACAUGACCCUUAAUGAUCUUACCUAUUUGCUUGUUGCUGAUGAAUCAUCAAUGAUUUGGAGCACUGGUAAAGCAAAUUUGAUUGGAAGAUAUACUUCCCAAACUUACAUGGACAUUGACAAUGGUAACAUUAGAAGUCCAAAAAAUCUUUCUCUUCCCAAUGGAAAGGGAUUGGCUAUGGUCAAGUCGAAUUGACCCAAUGGUAAAGAGAAAGGCUAAGUCUGAGAUAGUCUCGUGUACCAUUACAAAAGAGUCCAUAUGUUUCUAUUGCCAAAGGAAGGGACAUUGGUUGCGAAGCUGCCCUAUUUACACAAAGAAUCAUAAGGAUUGUAAAGUCAGAAUGUAUGAAUCUACUUCAGGUAAGUCCACUAUGUAACUCUAUUAAGUUCCUAUUUGGAGAUUCUUAUAAGAUGAUGUGACUAGGUCACAUUUUGAUGUUUAGUAGAAUCGAAGAAAUGAAAGAGAACUUAAAAGAAGAGUAAGCUGAUUUUGAUCGUGAAUAGAUGGAUUUCGAUCGCAUGAUUCGAAGAUCAGAAUUUUGAUCUACUGCUAAGAGUUAUGAUAGAUUGCUUAGGAAUAUAUAAAAACAUAGUUUUCAUAUGCAUUUGCAUUCUAAGGAUAAGUUUUUCCGAAAGUUUUAAAAUAAAAGAAAAGUUUUGGUUUUAUUUAUUUGAAGUAUCCUUACAAUGGCAUUUGUGAAAAUUGUUGUUUAUAUGAUUCCAUUGAUAGCAAUAUUGGAAAAUGGAUUUGAUUCUUUUGUUUGUGGUACUGUCAUAAUUUAUCAAAUAAGGAAAGAUUUUCAUCACCUAAGUUUCAGUUGGAUAGAAACUUGGAAUCAUGCAACUUGUAUUGUACGAUGAAUGAGAAUUUUCAUCUUCUGGAAAUUAAGACUAAUUCCUUGUUCACAUGUAUAUGUGAGUCAAGUGAGGGACUAGGAGAUCGGGUACACUUGGUUGUGCGCUGAUCAAGUCCACCACAAAGAACAAUAAAGGUAUUCGUCAUGAUUUACUAAAGUUCAGUAAAUAUGGUUAUGCUUACAAGUUUAAGUGUAACUCUGAAACAUUGGAAAAGUUUCAACGUAUGAUAGGACGAAUGAGAAGAAUCAAAUUAGGUAGAAAGAUAAAAGUUUCUCCAAUCUGAAAAGAUGGGAGAUUAGUUCAGUAUUGUGUUUUAUGAUCAUCUUAAUGAUUAAGAAAAACCAUGUCACAAUUGAUCCUCUAAGGACAUCUUGGUGCAUUUUUUUGGCUAAGAAGAGGAAUCGUGAAUUGUCGAAAUGGUUAAAUCAAGAAGAUGAGUCAUACUUCGUUCCAAAACAAGUCUUAGAAUCAUACUCCAAGAUUGUAACUUGAGUGACAUAAUCUUAAAAGGUUUAUAACACUAGUCAAAUAUAGAGUAAAUUUUUUUCUUACUCUUGUACAUUUGAAAUUGGUAAGUUGUGAUGUUUUGGAUAAGAUAAAGACCAACUAAGACCAAUUGUGUGAAGUGUUUGUCUUGAUAAGAAUCCGCACUAACUCUUGAAUAUUUUCUUUGUCAAGGAAUGGUUCUUGACAAGAGAAUCUUAUAUGUCAAGAGGUCAGUGGGAGUCUUAAUGAUCUUGAAUAGGGUCUCAAGAAAUAAUCAAGGAAAAAACCUAUUGUUUAUCACUAGCACACAACUUGAGGUUUAUAGCCUAUCGUGUUGAUAUAUUCUUGUUUCUGUGCCCAUUCCAUUUGAAGUUGACUAUGCAUGUGAGUUCUAUGAGUUCUAAAUUGUUUGCAUAACUACCUAGAAGCAAUGGUAGGCCCUUGUGCUGCCGGGUGGCAAGAAAACUGAGAUUAAACAAGUGCAGUCCAUAUGACUUUGGAUUUGUCACUAAACUUGUCUUGUGAUUAUGGUUAUGACAAAUUUACAUGGAUAAGAACACAUACACCAUAAAAAUCUAAGUAUCAUAAGGUUUCUCUCUGAUUCAUGAAAAUGAUGGCGAUGAAACGCUUUCACUAAGUAGAUUUUAAAAAGAUAGCAAUUGUGAUAUUUGCAUUCCCAUAGUUGUUAGUGGAGCGUGUGUGGUCAACCGGCACACUAACAUUGACUAGUGAGAAUGGAAAAAGGUCUAAACAUUAUGAUUACGUCAUCCCUUUUCAUAAUUGUUUAGACACACGUGUGAGCUAUCUAAGGAAAGGUGUACGAUUUUGAUAAAGUCUUAUCGAAGCAUCUCCUAUCAGAUAUCUGAACUUUGGUAACAAAGUCAAUAAAAUAUUGAUUUCUAGAAGUCUACCUGAUUUCUGGAUACAUGUCAAAGCUAGUGGGAGCAUACGUGUUAUGCUAAUAAUUAUCAUGUUAGUGGGAGCAUGAUUAUUAUGUUAGGUGUUGCAAGUUAUCAAUGUUAAUUAUAGAAAACAAAAGUGUCGAUUUGCAAAGUUGUAGGGUUUGGAAAGUUGUUUUGCUAUAAUUAAGAAAGAGGAAAUUAUACUUCAUUCCAAUUCUAAUAGCUUAGAUUGUGAGUUUUUAAUCAAAUUUAGUCAUGAGUACAUUAUUUGCGUUCUAAAAUUUGAUUAUGAUUACGACAUCCCUUUUCAUAAUUCGAAUUAUGAGAACAUGGCAAAUAGAAAUAGAAAUAUUUUAGCAAAAGACUGGUCUAGUAUCUUGUCUUUAUGUGAGACAUUAUGAAUUGUAUCCCAUAUGUUUUGGGUAUAGGAUCAAUUGGAUAUGCUAUAAUAUUCAUCCAUUCUAAAUUUUCCAAUGCCUAGAGUAUUAAGAGGGAAAAUGACUAGAACUGGAUAUGACUAAAAAGAUUAAGCAAUUGUCAAGGACAAUUUGAGGUAUACCAAAGAUUGGUUGCUCAUGGACGGUUGGAAGUAUAGUGUUAAUUUGUGGAAAAACCAUAUUGACAUAUUUUGAAAGGAGGUAACUCUUGUUUAGUAGUGAUAGUCAAAAUGGGAAUGUGGAAAUGUUUCCAUAGGUGGAAGUUAUUCAUUAAAUCUGUGUAAGAUUAGAAAACUUAAUGCAAGAAGGAUUUUCAAAGGAAUGUACUUUGAAUUUGAGACUUCAUUUCCAUCGAAUUGCUCUCCAUUGGAAUACUUUGUAAAUGUUUGUUGCCAAGUCUUUGUGACUUUUGUGCAUAAUUAUUAUAAGAGGAUUAAUGCAUAUAAGUUUAUAAUCUAACAUAUUUCAGUAAAUGGAAAAGAAUAUUGUAUUCUUACAUCUGCGAUAAGGAUUUGGGAUUGUGAAAUGAGAAUAAUUGGAAUCAUAUUCAAUUGAUAUAUUUCACAAAGUAAGGAUCAUAGACAAACAUAGUGUGCAUAACUAUUGUUUAGUAAACAUAGUGUGCAUGCUUAGAGCAUGGGACAACUAUUGUUUUGAUUCAAGUAUAAAGUUGAUUAUUCAAAACAUUACACGAUGAAUAAUGUGUAAUCAAUAUGGUGAUUAAAUAAAAGGUGUUUUAUUUAUAUUCAUAAGUUCUGAGACCAUAUUAGAUUCGAUUAUUUUGGUGUUUCACUUUGCAUGUUUUGACUUCCCAAAUAACUAGGUUAUUCAAACUCUCCACAGUCAAUCAUACUUUGAAGUAGGUAUGAAUCAAGACUGUUAUGAAUUGGGCUUGUAGAUGUCUAAAGUGUUUAGACAUCGCAAAAGUUGCUGCAACAUUCAUGAGUGCUCCUAGAAUGAGAUUCGAGUAUUGGAUUCAACCCACGCUCAUAUGGAUCACUUCAUGGAUUUUAUCACGAGUGAUCAUGAGACGAUAAUAUCUUAUAUUCUUCAAACCUAGAGAUAUGAGUUGUUGACUAUGAGUUGGUUGUACAUUGAUUGUACGAAAAUGCAUCAAUAACUUGAUGUUAUAAAACGUGCCUUUGUGUAUGAUUCAACAAGUAGUUAGUACAAGUAUAUGAGUCGAAGUUUAUCCAUUCUUUUUACCCUUGGAGGGAUA
This 5447-nucleotide long non-coding RNA is filed under the name Lactuca sativa (garden lettuce). RNAcentral's name for it is "long non-coding RNA (LSAT_LNC007478)". Lineage: Eukaryota; Viridiplantae; Streptophyta; Magnoliopsida; Asterales; Asteraceae. The record is from RNAcentral.